CACCAGGCGCGAAAACUUUACAAUGCACGAAAGUGUGAUAAGGGAAUCCUAAGUGCUAAUACACAGUAUUGGCUUUUGCCAAGGGUAAAUACCUUGGAGAAUAAGUGGUGGGUAAGACUGGUGCCAGCAGCCGCGGUAACCCCAGCGCCACGAGUGGGAACCACAAUUAUUUGGCCUAAAGCGUCCGUAGCUGGCUUUGUAAAUCUUUUGUGAAAUCGGAAAGCUUAACUUUCCGGCGUGCAGAAGACACUGCAUUGCUUGAGACCGGGAGGGGUAAGGAGUAUUUCCAGGGAACCGGUAAAAUGGGAUAAUCCUGGAAGGACUACCUGUGGCGAAGGCGCCUUACCAGAACGGGUCUGACAGUGAGGGACGAAGGCUAGGGGAGCGAACCGGAUUAGAUACCCGAGUAGUCCUAGCAGUAAACUCUGCGGGCUAGGUGUUGCAUCAUCCAUGUGAUUAUGCAGUGUCGUAGCGAAGGCAAUAAGCCCGCCGCCUGGGAAGUAUGGUCGCAAGACUGAAACUUAAAGGAAUUGGCGGGGGAGCAC
Molecule: ribosomal RNA, 545 nt
Filed under: uncultured archaeon
Lineage: Archaea
Description: bacterial SSU rRNA
Rfam family: Archaeal small subunit ribosomal RNA
Source: RNAcentral